This 497-nucleotide ribosomal RNA is filed under the name uncultured bacterium. RNAcentral's name for it is "partial 16S ribosomal RNA". It matches the Rfam family "Bacterial small subunit ribosomal RNA", at positions 28 to 507 of the family's 1533-position model. The record is from RNAcentral.
GAUGAACGCUGGCGGCGUGCCUAAUACAUGCAAGUCGAGCGAACAGACGAGGAGCUUGCUCCUCUGACGUUAGCGGCGGACGGGUGAGUAACACGUGGAUAACCUACCUAUAAGACUGGGAUAACUUCGGGAAACCGGAGCUAAUACCGGAUAAUAUAUUGAACCGCAUGGUUCAAUAGUGAAAGACGGUUUUGCUGUCACUUAUAGAUGGAUCCGCGCCGCAUUAGCUAGUUGGUAAGGUAACGGCUUACCAAGGCAACGAUGCGUAGCCGACCUGAGAGGGCGAUCGGCCACACUGGAACUGGGACACGGUCCAGACUCCUACGGGAGGCAGCAGUAGGGAAUCUUCCGCAAUGGGCGAAAGCCUGACGGAGCAACGCCGCGUGAGUGAUGAAGGUCUUCGGAUCGUAAAACUCUGUUAUUAGGGAAGAACAAAUGUGUAAGUAACUAUGCACGUCUUGACGGUACCUAAUCAGAAAGCCACGGCUAACUACGUG